This 253-nucleotide ribosomal RNA is filed under the name uncultured bacterium. RNAcentral describes it as "partial 16S ribosomal RNA". It matches the Rfam family "Bacterial small subunit ribosomal RNA", at positions 524 to 776 of the family's 1533-position model. The record is from RNAcentral.
UACGUAGGCAGCAAGCGUUGUUCGGAAUUACUGGGCGUAAAGGGCUCGUAGGCGGCCAACUAAGUCCGACGUGAAAUCCCCAGGCUUAACCUGGGAACUGCGUCGGAUACUGGAUGGCUUGAAUCCGGGAGAGGGAUGCGGAAUUCCAGGUGUAGCGGUGAAAUGCGUAGAUAUCUGGAGGAACACCGGUGGCGAAGGCGGCAUCCUGGACCGGCAUUGACGCUGAGGAGCGAAAGCCAGGGGAGCAAACGGG